UACAGAGGGUGCAAGCGUUAAUCGGAAUUACUGGGCGUAAAGCGUGCGUAGACGGUUACAUAAGUCGGGUGUGAAAGCCCCGGGCUCAACCUGGGAAUUGCAUUCGAGACUGCGUAGCUAGGGUGCGGAAGAGGGAAGCGGAAUUUCCGGUGUAGCGGUGAAAUGCGUAGAUAUCGGAAGGAACACCAGUGGCGAAAGCGGCUUCCUGGUCCGACACCGACGUUCAGGCACGAAAGCGUGGGGAGCAAACAGG
Molecule: ribosomal RNA, 253 nt
Filed under: uncultured bacterium
Lineage: Bacteria
Description: partial 16S ribosomal RNA
Rfam family: Bacterial small subunit ribosomal RNA
Source: RNAcentral